CUGUUUCACUGACUGUAGACUGUGGAGUAGUGUGUAAAUGGAUCUUCUGAUGGUAACCCAGUACUGGGCUGAUAAAUGAAUGGAAGUAAAUGGAUCAUCUGAAGGUAACCCAGUACUGGGCUGAUAAAUGAAUGGAAGUAAAUGGAUCUUUUCACAGUAAAAAAAAUCUUUUCAGAUCUUAUUUUUAAUAACGUGCCGAUAGAGGACAGAUACUUCAAAGCAUACUUCCUUUUCAUAAUUGUUUUAUUUUUUUUAACCAUUUGUUUUUCCAUGUAUCUGUUAUUCAACGUGUUUCUGCGGACUAACAGCAGUAAGACCAAAUUCAAUGUUUGAUCAAAUCAUUUGAAGAUAUUUUUUCAAAAGCAAAUAGCUAAAUGAUCCUUGGUAAGACCUUAAAACAAUUCCUGUAACGAGGUCUGUGUGUAGCUGGUGUAGAGGAGUCAGGCGUAGGUGUCAGAGUCGUGUGUAUAGGUGGCAGGUGUCAGAGUGGUGUGUAUAGAUGGCAGGUGUCAGAGUGGUGUGUAUAGGUGGCAGGUGUCAGAGUGGUGUGUAUAGAUGGCAGGUGUCAGAGUGGUGUGUAUAGAUGGCAGGUGUCAGAGUGGUGUGUAUAGAUGGCAGGUGUCAGAGUGGUGUGUAUAGAUGGCAGGUGUCAGAGUGGUGUGUAUAGAUGGCAGGUGUCAGAGUGGUGUGUAUAGAUGGCAGGUGUCAGAGUGGUGUGUAUAGAUGGCAGGUGUCAGAGUGGUGUGUAUAGAUGGCAGGUGUCAGAGUGGUGUGUAUAGAUGGCAGGUGUCAGAGUGGUGUGUAUAGAUGGCAGGUGUCAGAGUGGUGUGUAUAGAUGGCAGGUGUCAGAGUGGUGUGUAUAGAUGGCAGGUGUCAGAGUGGUGUGUAUAGGUGGCAGGUGUCAGAGUGGUGUGUAUAGGUGGCAGGUGUCAGAGUGGUGUGUAUAGGUGGCAGGUGUCAGAGUGGUGUGUAUAGAUGGCAGGUGUCAGAGUGGUGUGUAUAGAUGGCAGGUGUCAGAGUGGUGUGUAUAGGUGGCAGGUGUCAGAGUGGUGUGUAUAGGUGGCAGGUGUCAGAGUGGUGUGUAUAGGUGGCAGGUGUCAGAGUGGUGUGUAUAGAUGGCAGGUGUCAGAGUGGUGUGUAUAGAUGGCAGGUGUCAGAGUGGUGUGUAUAGAUGGCAGGUGUCAGAGUGGUGUGUAUAGAUGGCAGGUGUCAGAGUGGUGUGUAUAGAUGGCAGGUGUCAGAGUGGUGUGUAUAGGUGGCAGGUGUCAGAGUGGUGUGUAUAGGUGGCAGGUGUCAGAGUGGUGUGUAUAGAUGGCAGGUGUCAGAGUGGUGUGUAUAGAUGGCAGGUGUCAGAGUGGUGUGUAUAGAUGGCAGGUGUCAGAGUGGUGUGUAUAGAUGGCAGGUGUCAGAGUGGUGUGUAUAGGUGGCAGGUGUCAGAGUGGUGUGUAUAGGUGGCAGGUGUCAGAGUGGUGUGUAUAGGUGGCAGGUGUCAGAGUGGUGUGUAUAGAUGGCAGGUGUCAGAGUGGUGUGUAUAGAUGGCAGGUGUCAGAGUGGUGUGUAUAGAUGGCAGGUGUCAGAGUGGUGUGUAUAGAUGGCAGGUGUCAGAGUGGUGUGUAUAGGUGGCAGGUGUCAGAGUGGUGUGUAUAGAUGGCAGGUGUCAGAGUGGUGUGUAUAGGUGGCAGGUGUCAGAGUGGUGUGUAUAGGUGGCAGGUGUCAGAGUGGUGUGUAUAGGUGGCAGGUGUCAGAGUGGUGUGUAUAGGUGGCAGGUGUCAGAGUGGUGUGUAUAGGUGGCAGGUGUCAGAGUGGUGUGUAUAGGUGGCAGGUGUCAGAGUGGUGUGUAUAGAUGGCAGGUGUCAGAGUGGUGUGUAUAGGUGGCAGGUGUCAGAGUGGUGUGUAUAGGUGGCAGGUGUCAGAGUGGUGUGUAUAGGUGGCAGGUGUCAGAGUGGUGUGUAUAGGUGGCAGGUGUCAGAGUGGUGUGUAUAGAUGGCAGGUGUCAGAGUGGUGUGUAUAGAUGGCAGGUGUCAGAGUGGUGUGUAUAGAUGGCAGGUGUCAGAGUGGUGUGUAUAGGUGGCAGGUGUCAGAGUGGUGUGUAUAGGUGGCAGGUGUCAGAGUGGUGUGUAUAGGUGGCAGGUGUCAGAGUGGUGUGUAUAGAUGGCAGGUGUCAGAGUGGUGUGUAUAGAUGGCAGGUGUCAGAGUGGUGUGUAUAGGUGGCAGGUGUCAGAGUGGUGUGUAUAGAUGGCAGGUGUCAGAGUGGUGUGUAUAGAUGGCAGGUGUCAGAGUGGUGUGUAUAGAUGGCAGGUGUCAGAGUGGUGUGUAUAGGUGGCAG
Molecule: long non-coding RNA, 2326 nt
Organism: Oncorhynchus keta (chum salmon)
Lineage: Eukaryota; Metazoa; Chordata; Actinopteri; Salmoniformes; Salmonidae
Exons: 5
Source: RefSeq, a predicted model, not a curated record